This 659-nucleotide long non-coding RNA is filed under the name Medicago truncatula (barrel medic). Its description in RNAcentral is "long non-coding RNA (MTRU_LNC008220)". Lineage: Eukaryota; Viridiplantae; Streptophyta; Magnoliopsida; Fabales; Fabaceae. The record is from RNAcentral.
GAAAAGGAAAGAACAAAAACAAGCAAAACUAGCUAGACCGCAGCCUCAAGACACAUGAGGCAUCCGCCAAAAGCACAUGUGCAAAUUGCGGAGGUGGAGAGACCCACAACUUUAAACUAACAUCCGAUUGAGCAUCAUAUUUAGCCAACCAAUCAGCACACUCAUUUCCUUCUCUCAAAGUAUGAUUGAAAAGCAAGGACCAAUCUCGUGACAUGAGGGUACGAAUCCGACCCAGAACAAUGGCAUGAGGAUGAUAAGUCGUGUCGUUAUCGAGAAUAAGAUCAAGAGCUGAUUUAUAAUCAGGUUCCAAAGUAAUGAUUCUAAAUCCUAAAUCCCAAGCCAACUGAAGCCCAUUGAGGAUGGCAUAGAGCUCAACAAGAAGGUUAGAAACACGACCACAAGAUUCAGAGAAACCAUGGAUCCAUCCUCCAACAUCAUUGCGAAUAAGACCACCAAAACCAGCACGACCUGGAUUACCGAAGGAACUUCCAUCUACAUUUAUCUUGAGACCAGGAGCAGUUGGGGGGUGCCACGCAAUCUGUCGAAUGAUGUUUGUCCUAGCAGAGGUUGUAUGCAAAACCUGCAAAAUAAAAUUACGAGUGUUAAAUAUACAAUUAACAAUCAACCAUGUAGGCUUUCUAUUUGCUUGAAAGAUCUCU